GCCUAAUACAUGCAAGUCGAGCGAACGGACGAGAAGCUUGCUUCUCUGAUGUUAGCGGCGGACGGGUGAGUAACACGUGGAUAACCUACCUAUAAGACUGGGAUAACUUCGGGAAACCGGAGCUAAUACCGGAUAAUAUUUUGAACCGCAUGGUUCAAAAGUGAAAGACGGUCUUGCUGUCACUUAUAGAUGGAUCCGCGCUGCAUUAGCUAGUUGGUAAGGUAACGGCUUACCAAGGCAACGAUGCAUAGCCGACCUGAGAGGGUGAUCGGCCACACUGGAACUGAGACACGGUCCAGACUCCUACGGGAGGCAGCAGUAGGGAAUCUUCCGCAAUGGGCGAAAGCCUGACGGAGCAACGCCGCGUGAGUGAUGAAGGUCUUCGGAUCGUAAAACUCUGUUAUUAGGGAAGAACAUAUGUGUAAGUAACUGUGCACAUCUUGACGGUACCUAAUCAGAAAGCCACGGCUAACUACGUGCCAGCAGCCGCGGUAAUACGUAGGUGGCAAGCGUUAUCCGGAAUUAUUGGGCGUAAAGCGCGCGUAGGCGGUUUUUUAAGUCUGAUGUGAAAGCCCACGGCUCAACCGUGGAGGGUCAUUGGAAACUGGAAAACUUGAGUGCAGAAGAGGAAAGUGGAAUUCCAUGUGUAGCGGUGAAAUGCGCAGAGAUAUGGAGGAACACCAGUGGCGAAGGCGACUUUCUGGUCUGUAACUGACGCUGAUGUGCGAAAGCGUGGGGAUCAAACAGGAUUAGAUACCCUGGUAGUCCACGCCGUAAACGAUGAGUGCUAAGUG
This 794-nucleotide ribosomal RNA is filed under the name Staphylococcus aureus. RNAcentral describes it as "bacterial SSU rRNA". It matches the Rfam family "Bacterial small subunit ribosomal RNA", at positions 46 to 822 of the family's 1533-position model. Lineage: Bacteria; Bacillati; Bacillota; Bacilli; Caryophanales; Staphylococcaceae. The record is from RNAcentral.